RNAcentral lists this ribosomal RNA (246 nucleotides) under uncultured bacterium. Its description in RNAcentral is "partial small subunit ribosomal RNA". It matches the Rfam family "Bacterial small subunit ribosomal RNA", at positions 26 to 285 of the family's 1533-position model. The record is from RNAcentral.
AGAAUCAACGCUGGCGGCGUGCCUAACACAUGCAAGUCGAACGAGAAAGUGGGAGCAAUCCCAUGAGUAAAGUGGCGCACGGGUGAGUAACACGUGACUAACCUACCCUUGAGUGGGGGAUAACCUAGGGAACCUGGGCUAAUACCGCAUAAUACCUACGGGUCAAAGGAGCAAUUCGCUUUAGGAGGGGGUCGCGGCAGAUUAGUUAGUUGGCGGGGUAAUGGCCCACCAAGACGAUGAUCUGUA